ACCUGGGAUAGCUCAGUCAGUAGAGCAUGAGACUCUUAAUCUCAGGGUUGUGGGUUCGAGUCCCUUGCCAGGCA
Podarcis lilfordi (Lilford's wall lizard) is the source of this 74-nucleotide non-coding RNA. Lineage: Eukaryota; Metazoa; Chordata; Lepidosauria; Squamata; Lacertidae. The record is from the annotation of a GenBank genome assembly.